Molecule: long non-coding RNA, 937 nt
Organism: Hydra vulgaris (swiftwater hydra)
Lineage: Eukaryota; Metazoa; Cnidaria; Hydrozoa; Anthoathecata; Hydridae
Source: RefSeq, a predicted model, not a curated record
AGUUACUACAUGGCUAAAUCUAGAAAAUUAUGCAAGAAUAUAUGCAAUCCAUAUAGUCUAUAUUAUAGAAAUAAAAGUUCAACUAAUCCUUUACUAGUAGUAAAGGGUUAGUUGAACAAUUAUUUCUAUAAUAUAGACUAAAUGGAUUACUUAUAGUCUUGUUUAACUUUAUAUUUUAGACAUAUGAUAUGUAGUAACAUACCAUAUUUGUUUAAAUCAGUUGUAAAAUUAAAAAUGUUAACAUCUUUGAUAGGUAUAUUUAUUUAGGUUAGUUACAGCUAAGUUUACAUGGCUAGUUAAUAUGCUUUUAUAAAUUGCAAUUUUUAUUAAUUUCCAAAUUAAACAUGUGGCAUCCAAUAUCAUAAACUAUGAUUAUACUGGUGUGUUUAUAUUAUUUUAGAAUUUUUUGUUUUAGACACAUGGCAUUUGUUAUCCCACUAAUUUGCUGCUUUAGAGGCAUGGCAUUUAGUGUCACAUUGUAGGUUUAAAUUGGUUGUAGAAUUUAUAUUGUAACUUGCAUAUUUAUUUAGUUGAGUUUAAUCUAAGUUUAUAUCUGAUGUGUUUGUAUUAUUUUAGAAUUUACUGUUUUAGACACGUGGCAUGUGGUAUCCCACUACACUUGGUAUAAGCUGUCAUACUACACGUGGCAUGUGGUAUCCCACUAAUUAGCUAUUUUAAACAUGUGACAAGUGUUAUGACACUGUAUUGAUGUAUGUGAAAUGCAUAGAGUCUUUCAGUUAUCAGAUAAUGUCAAGGAGUUGACAGCAUGGUGUUCGAUUCAAAGUGCGAACCUGUGUACGAGUAACAACAGUAUUCAAAACCAAAACCUAUUUAAACCAACCAAACCAAAACUAACGACCAAAAACUUCUUGGCAUUGGUUUAUUUUAAACAUCUAUUAUAUAUAUGUGUGUUUUUUAUAUAAAUGUACUAGCUUGA